CGAAAGCCUGACGGAGCAAUACCGCGUGAGGGAAGAAGGCCUUUGGGUUGUAAACCUCUUUUCUGAAGGAAGAAGUUCUGACGGUACUUCAGGAAUAAGCAUCGGCUAACUCCGUGCCAGCAGCCGCGGUAAUACGGAGGAUGCAAGCGUUAUCCGGAAUCAUUGGGCGUAAAGAGUCCGUAGGUGGUUUAGCAAGUCUGCUGUCAAAGACUGCGGCUUAACCGCAGAAAGGCAGUGGAAACUGCAAGACUAGAGUGCGGUAGGGGUAGAGGGAAUUCCCAGUGUAGCGGUGAAAUGCGUAGAUAUUGGGAAGAACACCAGUGGCGAAAGCGCUCUACUGGACCGAAACUGACACUGAGGGACGAAAGCUAGGGGAGCGAAAGGGAUUAGAUACCCCUGUAGUCCUAGCCGUAAACGAUGGAAACUAGGCGUAGCUUGUAUCGACCCAAGCUGUGCCGAAGCUAACGCGUUAAGUUUCCCGCCUGGGGAGUACGCACGCAAGUGUGAAACUCAAAGGAAUUGACGGGGGCCCGCACAAGCGGUGGAGUAUGUGGUUUAAUUCGAUGCAACGCGAAGAACCUUACCAGGACUUGACAUCCGACGAAUCUCUUUGAAAGGAGAGAGUGCCUUCGGGAGCGUCGUGACAGGUGGUGCAUGGCUGUCUUCAGCUCGUC
This 674-nucleotide ribosomal RNA is filed under the name uncultured cyanobacterium. RNAcentral describes it as "bacterial SSU rRNA". It matches the Rfam family "Bacterial small subunit ribosomal RNA", at positions 376 to 1064 of the family's 1533-position model. Lineage: Bacteria; Bacillati; Cyanobacteriota. The record is from RNAcentral.